GCACGCGUAGCUCAGUUGGUAGAGCAGCUGACUCUUAAUCAGCGGGUCGUCGGUUCGAGUCCGUCCGCGUGUA
This 73-nucleotide transfer RNA is filed under the name Burkholderiales bacterium. RNAcentral's name for it is "tRNA-Lys". It matches the Rfam family "tRNA". From Rfam's summary of the family: Transfer RNA (tRNA) molecules are approximately 80 nucleotides in length. Their secondary structure includes four short double-helical elements and three loops (D, anti-codon, and T loops). RNAcentral also lists the same sequence under 2 other names. The record is from RNAcentral. Lineage: Bacteria; Pseudomonadati; Pseudomonadota; Betaproteobacteria; Burkholderiales.